Molecule: non-coding RNA, 23 nt
Filed under: Cricetulus griseus (Chinese hamster)
Lineage: Eukaryota; Metazoa; Chordata; Mammalia; Rodentia; Cricetidae
Source: RNAcentral
UUGUUGGGAUCAUGGCGGAGAAU